RNAcentral lists this ribosomal RNA (422 nucleotides) under uncultured bacterium. Its description in RNAcentral is "bacterial SSU rRNA". It matches the Rfam family "Bacterial small subunit ribosomal RNA", at positions 207 to 622 of the family's 1533-position model. The record is from RNAcentral.
AAGACCUUGCGCUUUUGGAGCGGCCGAUGUCUGAUUAGCUAGUUGGUGGGGUAAUGGCCUACCAAAGCUUCGAUCAGUAGCUGGUCUGAGAGGACGGCCAGCCACACUGGGACUGAGACACGGCCCAGACUCCUACGGGAGGCAGCAGUGGGGAAUUUUGGACAAUGGGCGCAAGCCUGAUCCAGCCAUGCCGCGUGAGUGAAGAAGGCCUUCGGGUUGUAAAGCUCUUUCAGCCGGGAAGAAAAGGCUGCGACUAAUAAUCGCAGUUCAUGACGGUACCGGAAGAAGAAGCACCGGCAACUACGUGCCAGCAGCCGCGGUAAUACGUAGGGUGCGAGCGUUAAUCGGAAUUACUGGGCGUAAAGGGUGCGCAGGCGGUUUUGUAAGUCAGAUGUGAAAUCCCCGGGCUUAACCUGGGAACU